UGAAACAAGGGAAAACGUUGGCAGCAGUAAAGAAUUUUAUGCAAUAUACGAAAGUAAGACAUAGGCAGAACCUUUUAACCUGUCAAAUUAAGUGCCAGCAGACGCGGUGAAACUUAAGGGUUUGUUUUUUAGAAAAAGCAGAAAGCGUGUAAAGGUAAAACAUUUAAAAUAAAUAGAAUUUUUUUAGUAAUAGUGCAAUAUUAAAAGAAAAAAAAGAAUUUUUUAUGUGAAGACAAUUUAUUUUUUUUCUUUAACACGAAGGUUCUGGGAGCAAACAGGAUUAGAGACCCUGGUAGUCGAUACAGUAAAAGAAAGUCGCUUGAGUAGUACGGUCGCAAGAUUAAAAUUCAAAAAACUUGGCUGUUCAUUGUUAUUUAGAGGAGCGCGUUGCUUAAUUCGAUAGCCCGCGAGUUACCUUACCAAAACUAGCUUUUUCAGGUGUUGCAUGGCCGUCGUCAAUUUAUGUUUGAUACAAUAGAUUAAACCCUAGAAAGGUUGAAGUCAGGUAUUAUUGCCUUUAUGUUUUGGGGUUAGAUGCGCUACAUUUUUUUUUUAAUAAAAAAAAAGAGUUCGGAUUGUCUUUAAAAGAGGAUGAUGAAGGGGGAUUUAAUAGUAAUUGAAAAGUAGAGCGUUUCAAUGAAUUUGCCGCAAUGUUAGUACAAAUUGCCCGUCGCCUCUGCUGAUGGAAACAAAGUA
This 696-nucleotide ribosomal RNA is filed under the name Echinophyllia echinoporoides. RNAcentral describes it as "partial 12S ribosomal RNA". It matches the Rfam family "Bacterial small subunit ribosomal RNA", at positions 320 to 1422 of the family's 1533-position model. Lineage: Eukaryota; Metazoa; Cnidaria; Anthozoa; Scleractinia; Lobophylliidae. The record is from RNAcentral.